This 485-nucleotide RNase P RNA is filed under the name Candidatus Uhrbacteria bacterium RIFOXYB2_FULL_41_10. RNAcentral describes it as "RNase P RNA component class A". It matches the Rfam family "Bacterial RNase P class A". Rfam says of the family: Ribonuclease P (RNase P) is a ubiquitous endoribonuclease, found in archaea, bacteria and eukarya as well as chloroplasts and mitochondria. RNAcentral also lists the same sequence under 1 other name. The record is from RNAcentral. Lineage: Bacteria; Candidatus Uhriibacteriota.
UCAGGAAAUGUGAUAAUCGCUUGGCCGUAAGGUCAUGAGGAAAGUCCGAACACCCUGUUUGCGGUAACGCAGACAGAAAAAAGGAUGUCGCUAACAGCGACCAGGAUAUACAUCAGAACGGAAGGAACUGGUAAAUCUGUUCCUGCCAGUCUGAUAAAACCUAGGGAAAGUCCCGCUUCGGCGGGAUCCUCCAUAACUCUGCUUGCAGAGCGACGGAUGGAUGCCACAGAGACAAUACUAUCCUUCUUCGCUCUUAUGGAGCUACGAAGGAGAAACGUGAAAAGUAAUGCAGUGUCCUUCAGGGCUACGCAUUUCGUCUGGCGGCGACGCCAUGACGCGGUAAACCCAUCCUGGUGCAAGAGCAAAUUAGGUAGCUCGCUUGAAGCCUAUGGCAACAUAGGUUCUAGAUAAAUGAUUAUCGCCCUUCAAAACUCCGCAAGGAAAGAACAAGGGUUACAGAAUUCGGCUUAUAACUUCCUGAACAA